GAAGUUACAGCUCAGCAGUAGAGUGUGUGCUUACCAUGCUUAAGGUCCUAGGUUCAAUCCCCAGUACCUCCA
This 72-nucleotide transfer RNA is filed under the name Camelus bactrianus (Bactrian camel). It matches the Rfam family "tRNA". From Rfam's summary of the family: Transfer RNA (tRNA) molecules are approximately 80 nucleotides in length. Their secondary structure includes four short double-helical elements and three loops (D, anti-codon, and T loops). The record is from Rfam by way of RNAcentral. RNAcentral also lists the same sequence under 2 other names. Lineage: Eukaryota; Metazoa; Chordata; Mammalia; Artiodactyla; Camelidae.